CCUUGGGGAAAUAAAGAGAGAGGAGAGACAAUGGCUGGAGAGACACAAAAUGUCAAAGCCAAAGAUAGUGGAGGAUGAUCUACAAAAGACAUCAAAGCGGGCAAAGAUCACUUUGGAAGAUCUUGACAGUGAUGAUGAGACUCCACAACACCAGAAGACUACAGACUCCAAACAUGACAUCAAAGAGCUGGAGGAGAAGGUUAAGGAAAAGGAUAAGGAAAUAAGGAGGUUGCGUCGGUUAAACCUGCAACUGCAAGAGGGUAGAUAUUAGGGUGCAUCAGUUGCCCCCUAAAAAUGAAAAGUUCCUCCGAUCAUGAUGCAUUUUUGUUUUUAUGUUCCUUUUGGUAAGAAAACACACUGGGUGAAAUAUUUUGACAAAAUUCACAAGUUUAAUGGUGGCACCAGGAGCUCAAAG
Long non-coding RNA from Neoarius graeffei (lesser salmon catfish), 415 nucleotides. RefSeq lists it as uncharacterized. The record is from RefSeq and is a predicted model, not a curated record. The transcript is spliced from 4 exons. Lineage: Eukaryota; Metazoa; Chordata; Actinopteri; Siluriformes; Ariidae.